This 467-nucleotide ribosomal RNA is filed under the name uncultured bacterium. RNAcentral describes it as "bacterial SSU rRNA". It matches the Rfam family "Bacterial small subunit ribosomal RNA", at positions 28 to 507 of the family's 1533-position model. The record is from RNAcentral.
GAUGAACGCUGGCGGCGUGCCUAACACAUGCAAGUCGAACGGACAAAGAUGAAACCUAGUGAUUCUUUGUUAGUGGCGGACGGGUGAGUAACGCGUGGGUAACCUGCCCUGUACCGGGGGAUAACACUUAGAAAUAGGUGCUAAUACCGCAUAAGCGCACGAAGAUGCAUGUCUUUGUGUGAAAAACUCCGGUGGUACAGGAUGGACCCGCGUCUGAUUAGCUAGUUGGUGAGGUAACGGCCCACCAAGGCGACGAUCAGUAGCCGGCCUGAGAGGGUGACCGGCCACAUUGGGACUGAGACACGGCCCAAACUCCUACGGGAGGCAGCAGUGGGGAAUAUUGCACAAUGGGGGGAAACCCUGAUGCAGCAACGCCGCGUGAGUGAAGAAGUAUUCGGUAUGUAAAGCUCUAUCAGCAGGAAAGAAAAUGACGGUACCUGACUAAAGAAGCCCCGGCUAACUACGUG